GUGAGUAGUUCAGAGUUUGAUCCUGGCUCAGGAUGAACGCUAGCGGCAGGCUUAACACAUGCAAGUCGAGGGGCAGCGUGAGGGUUAGCAAUAACCCUUGACGGCGACCAGCGCAAGGGUGCGUAACGCGUGAGCAACUUGCCCUUAUCAGGGGGAUAACCGGUGGAAACGCCGACUAAUACCCCAUGGCAUUGGUUGGAGGCAUCUCCUUCCAAUUAAAGAGUCUCGGAUAAGGAUAGGCUCGCGUGACAUUAGCUAGACGGCGGGGUAACGGCCCACCGUGGCUACGAUGUCUAGGGGUUCUGAGAGGAAGGUCCCCCACACUGGAACUGAGACACGGUCCAG
Molecule: ribosomal RNA, 345 nt
Filed under: uncultured bacterium
Lineage: Bacteria
Description: bacterial SSU rRNA
Rfam family: Bacterial small subunit ribosomal RNA
Source: RNAcentral